CACGUAGGGUGCGAGCGUUGUCCGGAAUUAUUGGGCGUAAAGAGCUCGUAGGCGGUGUGUCGCGUCGGCCGUGAAAACCUGCAGCUUAACUGUGGGCUUGCGGUCGAUACGGGCAUCACUGGAGUUCGGCAGGGGAGACUGGAAUUCCUGGUGUAGCGGUGAAAUGCGCAGAUAUCAGGAGGAACACCGGUGGCGAAGGCGGGUCUCUGGACAACAACUGACGCUGAGGAGCGAAAGCGUGGGGAGCGAACAGG
This 254-nucleotide ribosomal RNA is filed under the name uncultured bacterium. Its description in RNAcentral is "partial 16S ribosomal RNA". It matches the Rfam family "Bacterial small subunit ribosomal RNA", at positions 524 to 776 of the family's 1533-position model. The record is from RNAcentral.